RNAcentral lists this unclassified non-coding RNA (229 nucleotides) under plant metagenome. Its description in RNAcentral is "partial contains small subunit ribosomal RNA, internal transcribed spacer 1, and 5.8S ribosomal RNA". The record is from RNAcentral.
UCUUCGUAGGUGAACCUGCGGAGGGAUCAUUACAGAGUUCAUGCCCUACCGGGUAGAUCUCCCACCCUAUGUUAUUAUUACUUUGUUGCUUUGGCGGGCCGUUAGGCUCCGGCCCGACUACCGGCCCCGGCUGGUAAGCGCCCACCAGAGGACCCAAAACCCUGAAUAUUAGUGUCGUCUGAGUACUAUAUAAUAGUUAAAACUUUCAACAACGGAUCUCUUGGUUCUG